This 458-nucleotide ribosomal RNA is filed under the name uncultured bacterium. RNAcentral's name for it is "bacterial SSU rRNA". It matches the Rfam family "Bacterial small subunit ribosomal RNA", at positions 28 to 507 of the family's 1533-position model. The record is from RNAcentral.
GAUGAACGCUGGCGGCGUGCUUAAUACAUGCAAGUCGAACGGAGACAGUAGCAAUAUUGUCUUAGUGGCGAACGGGUGAGUAACGCGUUGGUGACCUGCCCCGAAGAGGGGGAUAACAGUCCGAAAGGAUUGCUAAUACCCCAUGUGGUCAUAUGGAUUAGAUGCCUAAUGACUAAACGGAUUUAUUCGCUUCGGGAGGGGCCUGCGUCCCAUCAGCUAGUUGGUAAGGUAAUGGCUUACCAAGGCGAUGACGGGUAGGGGACCUGAGAGGGUGGCCCCCACAAUGGAACUGAAACACGGUCCAUACACCUACGGGUGGCAGCAGUAGGGAAUAUUGGUAAUCUGGGAAACCGGGAACCAGCAACGCCGCGUGCACGAUGAAGGCCUUCGGUCGUAAAGUGCUUUUGUAGGAGUGAGGAAGGACAGUACCUUCAGAAUAAGCCUCGGCUAACUACGUG